UGCCGGGAUGUCCAAGCAGUCUCCUGUUGAUGGACCAUAUAGGCCUAUCUUUCGGCUGGCUUGUUAUACUGUAGUGAACAGCCGGUGAUAGCAGGGACGCUGGGGGUCAGUCACAGCUGAAGGUGCUGAGAGAAGCAGGUAAUGUGCAGCUGCUGCUGCUGAAUACGGUACUGUGAGAGCAGUUGGACUGAAGCAAAAGACUAAACAAGCUGUGGGCUGUUAAACCAAAACAAUGAGCUGAAAGACGCUAUGAAACUCCAUAAAGGAUUCUUGUGCAAAAACACUCUUGUGGUCCUAGCAGGGCUUUCUAUGAGACAGCAAGGCUAUAUAUCAUGCUUACCCGACCUGCCAUCCAGCAUGGGGGAGAAAUGUGCGGCAGUAACAUGCUGGACCAGAGGCUCUCUCUCACACACAGACAAGACAGACAGUCAGGCUGGCUGUGGAACUUUGGACUCUUGGUUUAAACGGUGAUAAAAAGAAGAGGAUCUCGACCAGCUGGGAGAAGCCAAGCUGGGAAAGCAAGAGGCGUUGUCGUCGAGUAUUUUUUGUUGCUUGCUGAAAAUAUGUGUGUGUGAGUUGGCUGAAUAAA
Molecule: long non-coding RNA, 589 nt
Organism: Siniperca chuatsi (mandarin fish)
Lineage: Eukaryota; Metazoa; Chordata; Actinopteri; Centrarchiformes; Sinipercidae
Exons: 4
Source: RefSeq, a predicted model, not a curated record